UACGUAGGUGGCAAGCGUUGUCCGGAUUUACUGGGUGUAAAGGGCGUGUAGGCGGGAUUGCAAGUCAGGCGUGAAAACCAGGGGCUCAACCUCUGGCCUGCGUUUGAAACUGUAGUUCUUGAGUACUGGAGAGGUUGACGGAAUUCCUAGUGUAGCGGUGAAAUGCGUAGAUAUUAGGAGGAACACCAGUGGCGAAGGCGGUCAACUGGACAGCAACUGACGCUGAGGCGCGAAAGCGUGGGGAGCAAACAGG
Molecule: ribosomal RNA, 253 nt
Filed under: Flintibacter butyricus
Lineage: Bacteria; Bacillati; Bacillota; Clostridia; Eubacteriales
Also listed under: 2 other names
Description: partial 16S ribosomal RNA
Rfam family: Bacterial small subunit ribosomal RNA
Source: RNAcentral